Molecule: ribosomal RNA, 513 nt
Filed under: uncultured bacterium
Lineage: Bacteria
Description: bacterial SSU rRNA
Rfam family: Bacterial small subunit ribosomal RNA
Source: RNAcentral
GAGUUUGAUCGUGGCUCAGAUUGAACGCUGGCGGCAGGCCUAACACAUGCAAGUCGAGCGGUAGAGAGAAGCUUGCUUCUCUUGAGAGCGGCGGACGGGUGAGUAAUGCCUAGGAAUCUGCCUGGUAGUGGGGGAUAACGCUCGGAAACGGACGCUAAUACCGCAUACGUCCUACGGGAGAAAGCAGGGGACCUUCGGGCCUUGCGCUAUCAGAUGAGCCUAGGUCGGAUUAGCUAGUUGGUGAGGUAAUGGCUCACCAAGGCGACGAUCCGUAACUGGUCUGAGAGGAUGAUCAGUCACACUGGAACUGAGACACGGUCCAGACUCCUACGGGAGGCAGCAGUGGGGAAUAUUGGACAAUGGGCGAAAGCCUGAUCCAGCCAUGCCGCGUGUGUGAAGAAGGUCUUCGGAUUGUAAAGCACUUUAAGUUGGGAGGAAGGGCAGUAAAUUAAUACUUUGCUGUUUUGACGUUACCGACAGAAUAAGCACCGGCUAACUCUGUGCCAGCCGCCG